AUGCAAGUCGAGGGGCAGCAUAAUGGUAGUAAUACUAUUGAUGGCGACCGGCGGACGGGUGCGUAACGCGUAUGCAACCUACCCUUUACUCGGGGAUAGCCUUUCGAAAGAAAGAUUAAUACCCGAUGGCAUAAUUCUUCCGCAUGGUAGAACUAUUAAAGAAUUUCGGUCAUCGAUGGGGAUGCGUUCCAUUAGGUUGUUGGCGGGGUAACGGCCCACCAAGCCUUCGAUGGAUAGGGGUUCUGAGAGGAAGGUCCCCACAUUGGAACUGAGACACGGUCCAAACUCC
RNAcentral lists this ribosomal RNA (289 nucleotides) under uncultured Bacteroides sp. RNAcentral's name for it is "partial 16S ribosomal RNA". It matches the Rfam family "Bacterial small subunit ribosomal RNA", at positions 55 to 339 of the family's 1533-position model. The record is from RNAcentral. Lineage: Bacteria; Pseudomonadati; Bacteroidota; Bacteroidia; Bacteroidales; Bacteroidaceae.